This 468-nucleotide ribosomal RNA is filed under the name uncultured bacterium. RNAcentral's name for it is "partial 16S ribosomal RNA". It matches the Rfam family "Bacterial small subunit ribosomal RNA", at positions 28 to 507 of the family's 1533-position model. The record is from RNAcentral.
GACGAACGCUGGCGGCGUGCUUAACACAUGCAAGUCGAACGGAAAGGCCCUGCUUUUGUGGGGUGCUCGAGUGGCGAACGGGUGAGUAACACGUGAGUAACCUGCCCUUGACUUUGGGAUAACUUCAGGAAACUGGGGCUAAUACCGGAUAGGAGCUCCUGCUGCAUGGUGGGGGUUGGAAAGUUUCGGCGGUUGGGGAUGGACUCGCGGCUUAUCAGCUUGUUGGUGGGGUAGUGGCUUACCAAGGCUUUGACGGGUAGCCGGCCUGAGAGGGUGACCGGCGACAUGGGGACUGAGAGACGGACCAGAAUCCUACGGGAGGCAGCAGUGGGGAGUAUUGCAGAAUGGGCGGAAGCCUGAUGCAGCAACGCCGCGUGCGGGAUGACGGCCUUCGGGUUGUAAACAGCUUUCGACUGUGACGAAGCGUGCGUGACGGUAAUGGGUAAAGAAGCACCGGCUAACUACGUG